AGCGUACACGGUGGAUGCCCUGGCAGUCAGAGGCGAUGAAGGACGUGCUAAUCUGCGAUAAGCGUCGGUGAGGUGAUAUGAACCGUUAUAACCGGCGAUUUCCGAAUGGGGAAACCCAGUGUGUUUCGACACACUAUCAUUAACUGAAUCCAUAGGUUAAUGAGGCGAACCGGGGGAACUGAAACAUCUAAGUACCCCGAGGAAAAGAAAUCAACCGAGAUUCCCCCAGUAGCGGCGAGCGAACGGGGAGGAGCCCAGAGCCUGAAUCAGUGUGUGUGUUAGUGGAAGCGUCUGGAAAGGCGCGCGAUACAGGGUGACAGCCCCGUACACAAAAAUGCACAUAUUGUGAGCUCGAUGAGUAGGGCGGGACACGUGGUAUCCUGUCUGAAUAUGGGGGGACCAUCCUCCAAGGCUAAAUACUCCUGACUGACCGAUAGUGAACCAGUACCGUGAGGGAAAGGCGAAAAGAACCCCGGCGAGGGGAGUGAAAAAGAACCUGAAACCGUGUACGUACAAGCAGUGGGAGCCUCUUAAUGGGGUGACUGCGUACCUUUUGUAUAAUGGGUCAGCGACUUAUAUUCUGUAGCAAGGUUAACCGAAUAGGGGAGCCGAAGGGAAACCGAGUCUUAACUGGGCGUUAAGUUGCAGGGUAUAGACCCGAAACCCGGUGAUCUAGCCAUGGGCAGGUUGAAGGUUGGGUAACACUAACUGGAGGACCGAACCGACUAAUGUUGAAAAAUUAGCGGAUGACUUGUGGCUGGGGGUGAAAGGCCAAUCAAACCGGGAGAUAGCUGGUUCUCCCCGAAAGCUAUUUAGGUAGCGCCUCGUGAAUUCAUCUCCGGGGGUAGAGCACUGUUUCGGCAAGGGGGUCAUCCCGACUUACCAACCCGAUGCAAACUGCGAAUACCGGAGAAUGUUAUCACGGGAGACACACGGCGGGUGCUAACGUCCGUCGUGAAGAGGGAAACAACCCAGACCGCCAGCUAAGGUCCCAAAGUCAUGGUUAAGUGGGAAACGAUGUGGGAAGGCCCAGACAGCCAGGAUGUUGGCUUAGAAGCAGCCAUCAUUUAAAGAAAGCGUAAUAGCUCACUGGUCGAGUCGGCCUGCGCGGAAGAUGUAACGGGGCUAAACCAUGCACCGAAGCUGCGGCAGCGACACUAUGUGUUGUUGGGUAGGGGAGCGUUCUGUAAGCCUGUGAAGGUGGCCUGUGAGGGUUGCUGGAGGUAUCAGAAGUGCGAAUGCUGACAUAAGUAACGAUAAAGCGGGUGAAAAGCCCGCUCGCCGGAAGACCAAGGGUUCCUGUCCAACGUUAAUCGGGGCAGGGUGAGUCGACCCCUAAGGCGAGGCCGAAAGGCGUAGUCGAUGGGAAACAGGUUAAUAUUCCUGUACUUGGUGUUACUGCGAAGGGGGGACGGAGAAGGCUAUGUUGGCCGGGCGACGGUUGUCCCGGUUUAAGCGUGUAGGCUGGUUUUCCAGGCAAAUCCGGAAAACCAAGGCUGAGGCGUGAUGACGAGGCACUACGGUGCUGAAGUGACAAAUGCCCUGCUUCCAGGAAAAGCCUCUAAGCAUCAGGUAACAUCAAAUCGUACCCCAAACCGACACAGGUGGUCAGGUAGAGAAUACCAAGGCGCUUGAGAGAACUCGGGUGAAGGAACUAGGCAAAAUGGUGCCGUAACUUCGGGAGAAGGCACGCUGAUAUGUAGGUGAAGCGACUUGCUCGUGGAGCUGAAAUCAGUCGAAGAUACCAGCUGGCUGCAACUGUUUAUUAAAAACACAGCACUGUGCAAACACGAAAGUGGACGUAUACGGUGUGACGCCUGCCCGGUGCCGGAAGGUUAAUUGAUGGGGUUAGCGGUAACGCGAAGCUCUUGAUCGAAGCCCCGGUAAACGGCGGCCGUAACUAUAACGGUCCUAAGGUAGCGAAAUUCCUUGUCGGGUAAGUUCCGACCUGCACGAAUGGUGUAACGAUCUGGGCACUGUCUCAACCGUGAGCUCGGUGAAAUUGUAGUAUCGGUGAAGAUGCCGAUUACCCGCGAUGGGACGAAAAGACCCCGUGAACCUUUACUACAGCUUAGCAUUGACCUUGGUCAUCCGAUGUGUAGGAUAGGUGGGAGGCUUUGAAGUGUGGACGCCAGUCUGCAUGGAGCCGACCUUGAAAUACCACCCUUUAAUGUUUGAUGUUCUAACGUUGGCCCGUAAUCCGGGUUGCGGACAGUGUCUGGUGGGUAGUUUGACUGGGGCGGUCUCCUCCUAAAGAGUAACGGAGGAGCACGAAGGUUGGCUAAUCCUGGUCGGACAUCAGGAGGUUAGUGCAAUGGCAUAAGCCAGCUUGACUGCGAGCGUGACGGCGCGAGCAGGUGCGAAAGCAGGUCAUAGUGAUCCGGUGGUUCUGAAUGGAAGGGCCAUCGCUCAACGGAUAAAAGGUACUCCGGGGAUAACAGGCUGAUACCGCCCAAGAGUUCAUAUCGACGGCGGUGUUUGGCACCUCGAUGUCGGCUCAUCACAUCCUGGGGCUGAAGUAGGUCCCAAGGGUAUGGCUGUUCGCCAUUUAAAGUGGUACGCGAGCUGGGUUUAGAACGUCGUGAGACAGUUCGGUCCCUAUCUGCCGUGGGCGCUGGAGAACUGAGGGGGGCUGCUCCUAGUACGAGAGGACCGGAGUGGACGCAUCACUGGUGUUCGGGUUGUCAUGCCAAUGGCACUGCCCGGUAGCUAAAUGCGGAAGAGAUAAGUGCUGAAAGCAUCUAAGCACGAAACUUGCCCCGAGAUGAGUUCU
This 2773-nucleotide ribosomal RNA is filed under the name human gut metagenome. Its description in RNAcentral is "bacterial LSU rRNA". It matches the Rfam family "Bacterial large subunit ribosomal RNA". The record is from RNAcentral.